RNAcentral lists this transfer RNA (77 nucleotides) under Candidatus Bathyarchaeota archaeon. RNAcentral describes it as "tRNA-Thr". It matches the Rfam family "tRNA". From Rfam's summary of the family: Transfer RNA (tRNA) molecules are approximately 80 nucleotides in length. Their secondary structure includes four short double-helical elements and three loops (D, anti-codon, and T loops). The record is from RNAcentral. RNAcentral also lists the same sequence under 1 other name. Lineage: Archaea; Thermoproteati; Candidatus Bathyarchaeota.
GCCCCGGUGGCUUAGCCUGGUAAAGCGUCUCCUUGGUAAGGAGGAGAUCGCGGGUCCAAAUCCCGCCCGGGGCUCCA